This 2902-nucleotide ribosomal RNA is filed under the name Klebsiella pneumoniae. RNAcentral describes it as "23S ribosomal RNA". It matches the Rfam family "Bacterial large subunit ribosomal RNA". The record is from RNAcentral. Lineage: Bacteria; Pseudomonadati; Pseudomonadota; Gammaproteobacteria; Enterobacterales; Enterobacteriaceae.
GGUUAAGCGACUAAGCGUACACGGUGGAUGCCCUGGCAGUCAGAGGCGAUGAAGGACGUGCUAAUCUGCGAAAAGCGUCGGUAAGGUGAUAUGAACCGUUACAGCCGGCGAUGUCCGAAUGGGGAAACCCAGUGUGAUUCGUCACACUAUCGUUAACUGAAUACAUAGGUUAACGAGGCGAACCGGGGGAACUGAAACAUCUAAGUACCCCGAGGAAAAGAAAUCAACCGAGAUUCCCCCAGUAGCGGCGAGCGAACGGGGAGCAGCCCAGAGUCUGAAUCAGCUUGUGUGUUAGUGGAACGGUCUGGAAAGUCCGACGGUACAGGGUGAUAGUCCCGUACACCAAAAUGCACAGGCUGUGAACUCGAAGAGUAGGGCGGGACACGUGGUAUCCUGUCUGAAUAUGGGGGGACCAUCCUCCAAGGCUAAAUACUCCUGACUGACCGAUAGUGAACCAGUACCGUGAGGGAAAGGCGAAAAGAACCCCGGCGAGGGGAGUGAAAAAGAACCUGAAACCGUGUACGUACAAGCAGUGGGAGCACCUUCGGGUGUGACUGCGUACCUUUUGUAUAAUGGGUCAGCGACUUAUAUUCUGUAGCAAGGUUAACCGUAUAGGGGAGCCGCAGGGAAACCGAGUCUUAACUGGGCGUUAAGUUGCAGGGUAUAGACCCGAAACCCGGUGAUCUAGCCAUGGGCAGGUUGAAGGUUGGGUAACACUAACUGGAGGACCGAACCGACUAAUGUUGAAAAAUUAGCGGAUGACUUGUGGCUGGGGGUGAAAGGCCAAUCAAACCGGGAGAUAGCUGGUUCUCCCCGAAAGCUAUUUAGGUAGCGCCUCGUGAACUCAUCUUCGGGGGUAGAGCACUGUUUCGGCUAGGGGGUCAUCCCGACUUACCAACCCGAUGCAAACUACGAAUACCGAAGAAUGUUAUCACGGGAGACACACGGCGGGUGCUAACGUCCGUCGUGAAGAGGGAAACAACCCAGACCGCCAGCUAAGGUCCCAAAGUCAUGGUUAAGUGGGAAACGAUGUGGGAAGGCACAGACAGCCAGGAUGUUGGCUUAGAAGCAGCCAUCAUUUAAAGAAAGCGUAAUAGCUCACUGGUCGAGUCGGCCUGCGCGGAAGAUGUAACGGGGCUAAACCAUGCACCGAAGCUGCGGCAGCGACACUAUGUGUUGUUGGGUAGGGGAGCGUUCUGUAAGCCUGCGAAGGUGACCUGUGAGGGUUGCUGGAGGUAUCAGAAGUGCGAAUGCUGACAUAAGUAACGAUAAAGCGGGUGAAAAGCCCGCUCGCCGGAAGACCAAGGGUUCCUGUCCAACGUUAAUCGGGGCAGGGUGAGUCGACCCCUAAGGCGAGGCCGAAAGGCGUAGUCGAUGGGAAACAGGUUAAUAUUCCUGUACUUGGUGUUACUGCGAAGGGGGGACGGAGAAGGCUAUGUUAGCCGGGCGACGGUUGUCCCGGUUUAAGCAUGUAGGCUGAUUGUCCAGGCAAAUCCGGAUAAUCAAGGCUGAGGUGUGAUGACGAGGCACUACGGUGCUGAAGUAACAAAUGCCCUGCUUCCAGGAAAAGCCUCUAAGCAUCAGGUAACAUUAAAUCGUACCCCAAACCGACACAGGUGGUCAGGUAGAGAAUACCAAGGCGCUUGAGAGAACUCGGGUGAAGGAACUAGGCAAAAUGGUGCCGUAACUUCGGGAGAAGGCACGCUGGUGUGUAGGUGAAGUCCCUGCGGAUGGAGCUGAGACCAGUCGAAGAUACCAGCUGGCUGCAACUGUUUAUUAAAAACACAGCACUGUGCAAACACGAAAGUGGACGUAUACGGUGUGACGCCUGCCCGGUGCCGGAAGGUUAAUUGAUGGGGUUAUCCGUAAGGAGAAGCUCUUGAUCGAAGCCCCGGUAAACGGCGGCCGUAACUAUAACGGUCCUAAGGUAGCGAAAUUCCUUGUCGGGUAAGUUCCGACCUGCACGAAUGGCGUAAUGAUGGCCAGGCUGUCUCCACCCGAGACUCAGUGAAAUUGAACUCGCUGUGAAGAUGCAGUGUACCCGCGGCAAGACGGAAAGACCCCGUGAACCUUUACUAUAGCUUGACACUGAACAUUGAGCCUUGAUGUGUAGGAUAGGUGGGAGGCUUUGAAGCGUGGACGCCAGUCUGCGUGGAGCCAACCUUGAAAUACCACCCUUUAAUGUUUGAUGUUCUAACGUUGGCCCCUUACCGGGGUUGCGGACAGUGUCUGGUGGGUAGUUUGACUGGGGCGGUCUCCUCCCAAAGCGUAACGGAGGAGCACGAAGGUUAGCUAAUCCUGGUCGGACAUCAGGAGGUUAGUGCAAUGGCAUAAGCUAGCUUGACUGCGAGCGUGACGGCGCGAGCAGGUGCGAAAGCAGGUCAUAGUGAUCCGGUGGUUCUGAAUGGAAGGGCCAUCGCUCAACGGAUAAAAGGUACUCCGGGGAUAACAGGCUGAUACCGCCCAAGAGUUCAUAUCGACGGCGGUGUUUGGCACCUCGAUGUCGGCUCAUCACAUCCUGGGGCUGAAGUAGGUCCCAAGGGUAUGGCUGUUCGCCAUUUAAAGUGGUACGCGAGCUGGGUUUAGAACGUCGUGAGACAGUUCGGUCCCUAUCUGCCGUGGGCGCUGGAGAAUUGAGGGGGGCUGCUCCUAGUACGAGAGGACCGGAGUGGACGCAUCACUGGUGUUCGGGUUGUCAUGCCAAUGGCACUGCCCGGUAGCUAAAUGCGGAAGAGAUAAGUGCUGAAAGCAUCUAAGCACGAAACUUGCCCCGAGAUGAGUUCUCCCUGAGACUUUAAGUCUCCUGAAGGAACGUUGAAGACGACGACGUUGAUAGGCCGGGUGUGUAAGCGCAGCGAUGCGUUGAGCUAACCGGUACUAAUGAACCGUGAGGCUUAACCUU